GACGAACGCUGGCGGCGUGCCUAAUACAUGCAAGUAGAACGCUGAAGGAGGAGCUUGCUUCUCCGGAUGAGUUGCGAACGGGUGAGUAACGCGUAGGUAACCUGCCUGGUAGCGGGGGAUAACUAUUGGAAACGAUAGCUAAUACCGCAUAAGAGUAGAUGUCGCAUGACAUUUGCUUAAAAGGUGCAACUGCACCACUACCAGAUGGACCUGCGUUGUAUUAGCUAGUUGGUGAGGUAACGGCUCACCAAGGCAACGAUACAUAGCCGACCUGAGAGGGGGAACGGCCACACUGGGACUGAGACACGGCCCAGACUCCUACGGGAGGCAGCAGUAGGGAAUCUUCGGCAAUAGACGGUAGUCUGACCGAGCAACGCCGCGGGAGUGAAGAAGGUUUUCGGAUCGUAAAGCUCUGUUGUAGGAGGAGAACGAGUGUGAGAGUGGAAAGUUCACACUGUGACGGUAUCUUACCAGAAAGGGACGGCUAACUACGUG
This 495-nucleotide ribosomal RNA is filed under the name uncultured bacterium. RNAcentral describes it as "partial 16S ribosomal RNA". It matches the Rfam family "Bacterial small subunit ribosomal RNA", at positions 28 to 507 of the family's 1533-position model. The record is from RNAcentral.